AAAAUCUUACUUGAGGCUCGUUCC
This 24-nucleotide non-coding RNA is filed under the name Gossypium hirsutum (cotton). Lineage: Eukaryota; Viridiplantae; Streptophyta; Magnoliopsida; Malvales; Malvaceae. The record is from RNAcentral.